GGAAGGGAAGGUGAUGCGCUACAACAUCUGACAUCACAUAUAUAGCCAGAAGAUUCUUUAUUUUCUGGCUGACUAAACAGGUGUCUUCAUCUUUCUACACAGCUCCGCGAGCUUCCUUCCCAGAUCUACCUUCCUGAUCAAAGAAGCCUAGAAAAUGCCUGAGGAAGAGUAAUGGGAGGCAAGCCUAGAAAAAAGGGAGAACCAGAUUGUAGAGGCUGACAUUUCU
Molecule: small RNA, 226 nt
Filed under: Vicugna pacos (alpaca)
Lineage: Eukaryota; Metazoa; Chordata; Mammalia; Artiodactyla; Camelidae
Description: 7SK RNA (ENSVPAG00000017412.1)
Source: RNAcentral